This is a long non-coding RNA of Esox lucius (northern pike), 397 nucleotides long. NCBI's taxonomy places the organism in Eukaryota, Metazoa, Chordata, Actinopteri, Esociformes, Esocidae. The record is from Ensembl.
ACCAGGUAGACUAAUGACAUAGAUGACCAGGUAGACUAAUGACAUAGAUGACCAGGUAGACUAAUGACAUAGAUGACCAGGUGGAGUAAUGACAUAGAUGACCAGGUGGAGUAAUGACAUAGAUGUCCAGGUGGAGUAAUGACAUAGAUGACCAGGUGGACUAAUGGCAUAGAUGAACAGGUGGACUAAUGACAUAGAUGAACAGGUGGAGUAAUGACAGAGAUGACCAGGUGGACUAAUGACAGAGAUGACCAGGUGGACUAAUGACAGAGAUGACCACGUGGACUAAUGACAGAGAUGACCAGGUGGACUAAUGACAGAGAUGACCAGGUGGAUUAAUGACAGAGAUGACCAGGUGGACUAAUGACAGAGAUGACCAGGUGGACUAAUGACAUAG